This 510-nucleotide ribosomal RNA is filed under the name uncultured bacterium. Its description in RNAcentral is "bacterial SSU rRNA". It matches the Rfam family "Bacterial small subunit ribosomal RNA", at positions 28 to 496 of the family's 1533-position model. The record is from RNAcentral.
GACGAACGCUGGCGGCGUGCCUAAUACAUGCAAGUCGAACGCACUCUCGUUUAGAUUCGAAGGAGCUUGCUCCUGAUUGAUAAACAUUUGAGUGAGUGGCGGACGGGUGAGUAACACGUGGGUAACCUGCCCUAAAGUGGGGGAUAACAUUUGGAAACAGAUGCUAAUACCGCAUAAAACCUAACACCGCAUGGUGUAGGGUUGAAAGAUGGUUUCGGCUAUCACUUUAGGAUGGACCCGCGGUGCAUUAGUUAGUUGGUGAGGUAAAGGCUCACCAAGACCGUGAUGCAUAGCCGACCUGAGAGGGUAAUCGGCCACACUGGGACUGAGACACGGCCCAGACUCCUACGGGAGGCAGCAGUAGGGAAUCUUCCACAAUGGACGAAAGUCUGAUGGAGCAACGCCGCGUGAGUGAAGAAGGUUUUCGGAUCGUAAAACUCUGUUGUUGGAGAAGAAUGUAUCUGAUAGUAACUGAUCAGGUAGUGACGGUAUCCAACCAGAAAGCCACGG